RNAcentral lists this transfer RNA (75 nucleotides) under Candidatus Bathyarchaeota archaeon. RNAcentral describes it as "tRNA-Leu". It matches the Rfam family "tRNA", at positions 15 to 71 of the family's 71-position model. From Rfam's summary of the family: Transfer RNA (tRNA) molecules are approximately 80 nucleotides in length. Their secondary structure includes four short double-helical elements and three loops (D, anti-codon, and T loops). The record is from RNAcentral. Lineage: Archaea; Thermoproteati; Candidatus Bathyarchaeota.
ACGGGCUUUGAAGGCGCAGGCCUGAGGCGCCUGUCCCGCAGGGGUUCGUGGGUUCAAAUCCCACCUCCCGCACCA